This is a long non-coding RNA of Anolis sagrei ordinatus, 308 nucleotides long. RefSeq lists it as uncharacterized. NCBI's taxonomy places the organism in Eukaryota, Metazoa, Chordata, Lepidosauria, Squamata, Anolidae. The record is from RefSeq and is a predicted model, not a curated record.
UCCCUUUAAAGGUAAUGAAGCUGCAAAACCAUUUAAUGAUGGAAAGAAGUGUUUAGGAAAGUGCAAGCAGAACUGUGCUAAAAAUGAAUAUGAGGCUUCAAAGGCAAUGUGCCAUAAAGGAAUGGUUUACUGCUGCAAAAGAAAAGAUGCGCCUAAAGGAUAGAUGCUGUUUCAGCAGCAAGUUGAAGCAUAUGUGAGCAAUGAUUCAGAAGAAACUUGGAGCUGCCAAAAUGCCCUCCAUGAAUUCAACAUCUUAUAACAAUGCUGUGAUAUCCUGCUGCUAAUAAAACCUAAUUUGUUGUCCCUAA